RNAcentral lists this long non-coding RNA (841 nucleotides) under Salmo salar (Atlantic salmon). Its description in RNAcentral is "lncRNA (ENSSSAG00000093967.1)". Lineage: Eukaryota; Metazoa; Chordata; Actinopteri; Salmoniformes; Salmonidae. The record is from RNAcentral.
AUAGAACUUUACCAUGAAAUGCUUACUUAUGAGCCCUUUCCCAACGAUGCAGAGUAAUAAAAAAAACCCACAAGGAAUAAAAUACACAAGAAUGAAGCUAUAUACAGGGAGUACCAGUAGUAUAUCAAUGAGGCAGAUGAAAAUGCGCAGCGCUCCGUUUUUAGGUCAGUGGGACACGGAAUGGCGCUCUCUCUCUCUCCCUUCUUUUGAUCGACGAGUGGAAACAUUGUGACCUUCCUGACAUUCUAGUUUUCAGUUUUCCCUCGCAACUUUGUUUUUAAAACAUACUACACCCUCUAGUAUUGUGUCUGGGUGAAAACCGAGACAGAGGAAGAGAUGGCUCAUCUGGUGGCUGUGGUGAUUCUUUAGGGGAAAGAAAGAGCAGAGCAAAAUAGGAGGGAAUUCCUAGCUGUCUGUCUCUCACUGUGAAAAAAAGACAGAGAAAAGUGUCCUGGAAGGUGUAACCACUAAAACUAUUAUGCAAAUGAGGAAAUGAGGAAGGGAGCUGCCACUGUGAGAAAGAUAUACUGUAAACUAGUAUUAUUAUGUAAUAAAAUGGUCAUACUCUAGAUUGUUAUGAUGAGGUUGAAGCUAGGUCAAGUUGUUAUGAUGAGGUUGAGACUAGAUCUAUAUUGUUAUGAGGUUGAGACUAGGUCAGGUUGUUAUGACAAGGUUGAGACUAGGGUCUAGGUUGUUAUGAUGUGGUUGAUACCAGGUCAGGUUGUUAUGAUGAGGUUGAUACCAGGUCAGGUUGUUAUGACAAGGUUGAGACUAGGUCAGGUUGUUAUGAUGAGGUUGAGACUAGGGUCUAGGUUGUUAUGAUGUGGUUGAUACCAGGUCA